CCUACGGGAGGCAGCAGUGGGGAAUAUUGCACAAUGGGCGCAACCCUGACCCAGCAACGCCGCGUGAAGGAAGAAGGAUUUCGGGUUGUAAACUUCUUUUCUCAGGGACGAAAAUAGUGACGGUACAUGAGGAAUCAGCCACGGCGAACUACGUGCCAGCAGCCGCGGUACUACGUAGGUGGCAAGCGUUAUGCGGAUUUGUUGGGUGAAAAGGGCGUGUAGGCGGGGGCGCAAGUCAGAUGUGAAACCGCAGGGCGCAACCCGGAGACGGCAUUUGAAACUGUGUUUCUUGAGUGCUGGAGAGGCAAUCGGAAUUCCGUGUGUAGCGGGGAAAUGCGGAGAUAGACGGAGGAACACCAGGGGCGAAGGCGGAUUGCUGGACAGUAAAUGACGCUGAGGCGCGAAAGCGGGGGGAGCAAACAGGAUUAGAGACCCCAGUAGUC
Molecule: ribosomal RNA, 443 nt
Filed under: uncultured bacterium
Lineage: Bacteria
Description: partial 16S ribosomal RNA
Rfam family: Bacterial small subunit ribosomal RNA
Source: RNAcentral